UACGUAGGCGGAAUAUUAAGUCAGUGGUGAAAUCCUGCGGCUCAACCGUAGAACUGCCAUUGAUACUGAUAUUCUUGAAUAUAGUUGAGGUAGGCGGAAUGUGUAAUGUAGCGGUGAAAUGAUUAGAUAUUACACAGAACACCGAUUGCGAAGGCAGCUUACUAAACUAUUAUUGACGCUGAUGUACGAAAGCGUGGGGAGCGAACAGGAUUAGAUACCCUGGUAGUC
This 228-nucleotide ribosomal RNA is filed under the name uncultured bacterium. Its description in RNAcentral is "partial 16S ribosomal RNA". It matches the Rfam family "Bacterial small subunit ribosomal RNA", at positions 568 to 795 of the family's 1533-position model. The record is from RNAcentral.